GCCUACGACCAUCUCACCCUGAAUGCGCCCGAUCUCGUCUGAUCUCGGAAGCUAAGCAGGGUCGAGCCUGGGUCGAGCCUGGAUGGGAGACUGCCUGGGAAUACCAGGUGUUGUAGGCU
This 119-nucleotide ribosomal RNA is filed under the name Petromyzon marinus (sea lamprey). The record is from RNAcentral. Lineage: Eukaryota; Metazoa; Chordata; Hyperoartia; Petromyzontiformes; Petromyzontidae.